GCGGAAGUAGUUCAGUGGUAGAACAUCACCUUGCCAUGGUGGGGGUCGCGGGUUCGGAUCCCGUCUUCCGCU
RNAcentral lists this transfer RNA (72 nucleotides) under Limosilactobacillus reuteri. Its description in RNAcentral is "Lactobacillus reuteri tRNA-Gly". It matches the Rfam family "tRNA". From Rfam's summary of the family: Transfer RNA (tRNA) molecules are approximately 80 nucleotides in length. Their secondary structure includes four short double-helical elements and three loops (D, anti-codon, and T loops). Lineage: Bacteria; Bacillati; Bacillota; Bacilli; Lactobacillales; Lactobacillaceae. The record is from RNAcentral.